GGGGAUGUUAUUGGCUUCGACGCUGGUGAUGAAACUCAUAGAUGCAUGCCGAGAGCGCAUUUUCUCUCGUAAAUCAAAUUUGCAUAUUUUAGUCGCAAACGACGAAACUUACGCUCUAGCUGCCUAAGGGCAGUUUGUCCGCUUCCUAGAAUACUUGUGGUUUAGGAACCCGACCGUAGCGCACGCACACAAGUCCGUAUAGAGUCAAGCCUCGGGGCUUUAUACCAAACUUAGAGGAUC
This 240-nucleotide transfer-messenger RNA is filed under the name Acinetobacter sp. JS678. RNAcentral's name for it is "partial transfer-messenger RNA". It matches the Rfam family "transfer-messenger RNA", at positions 1 to 252 of the family's 374-position model. Rfam says of the family: Bacterial tmRNA, also known as 10Sa RNA or SsrA, is named for its dual tRNA and mRNA-like properties. Its role is to liberate the mRNA from a stalled ribosome. To accomplish this part of the tmRNA is used as a reading frame that ends in a translation stop signal. Lineage: Bacteria; Pseudomonadati; Pseudomonadota; Gammaproteobacteria; Moraxellales; Moraxellaceae. The record is from RNAcentral.